UCUUAAUUGGAGGAUUGUAUGAAAGGUUAAACGAAUAGAAUAGGGUUUUGAAUUUAAUGUUUGAAAUUAAUUAAUAGGUUAAAAUGCCUAUUUAAAGUUUAGGGACAAGAAGACCCUAUAAAGUUUUAUUAAGGAAUAUUAUUUUAUAUUAAAUUUCUUAAUUUUAUUGGGGCAAUAUUAUAAGAUAAAAUUUUAUAUUUAAAUAUAACUAUAAAGAUUUUUAGGAGCCAUUAAGAAUGAGUAUUUGAUAAAAUUACUUUAGGGAUAACAGCACAAUUAAAGUUUUAAAGUCCGUAUUUACAACUUUGGUUAUGACCUCGAUGUUG
RNAcentral lists this ribosomal RNA (326 nucleotides) under Cyphophthalmus duricorius. RNAcentral's name for it is "partial 16S ribosomal RNA". The record is from RNAcentral. Lineage: Eukaryota; Metazoa; Arthropoda; Arachnida; Opiliones; Sironidae.